AAUUUUUAAGUAAUUUAAUUAUUAAAAAAAUAACUGGAAAAUUUUGUUAUAGAUGACGUUAAAUUGUUAUUACCAUAAAUAAAUAAUUAUAUUGGUUUUAUCAUAAUAUUAGUUCCUAUUAAUCCUCAAAAUAAGCAAAUUUAUUUAUUUUUAUUCCUUACCCACAAUCCUUCUUUUACGCUCACGAUCUUUUUUUCCUAUUUUAUUUCCAAAAAAAUGUUUUUAGAAUAUCUUCAAGUUAGUUUUCGAAAUCUCAUAACUCGAUCUCAUUCAAUUCUCCACCUUUAAAUACUUUCUUAUUUUCUGUCAUUCUACCUCUCUUUUUUUCUUGACCAUCACUCAGUUUUUUUGUUCUUCUAUUUUCAGAAAUUUGUCAUGAACACUGCACUAAUGAUCAUUAGGACUCUGUGUUUUCCUACACAAUUUGGAGAAACAUAAACUAAAGAGCAAAAACUUAAGUGUGAUGAUGAUUCAAGAGAUCUCAAGUCAUAACCAAAGUAUGAUCUUGAUUCCACAAAUGGAAGAGAGAUGGCAUAGAAGAAGAAUUGAAGUUUCCAAGAAGAAAGAACAAUUAAUGGAAGGAACAAGUAUGGAACCAAAGGAAGAUGUGUUUAAACGUACAUGAAGUUUAGUU
Long non-coding RNA from Arabidopsis lyrata subsp. lyrata, 634 nucleotides. RefSeq lists it as uncharacterized. The record is from RefSeq and is a predicted model, not a curated record. The transcript has 2 exons. NCBI's taxonomy places the organism in Eukaryota, Viridiplantae, Streptophyta, Magnoliopsida, Brassicales, Brassicaceae.